UGUGGGAGCGAGCCUGCUCGCGAUAGCGUCGGAUCAGCUGCACCCAUGUUGCCGAUAGACCGCUAUCGCGAGCAGGCUCGCUCCCACA
This 88-nucleotide unclassified non-coding RNA is filed under the name Pseudomonas corrugata. The record is from RNAcentral. Lineage: Bacteria; Pseudomonadati; Pseudomonadota; Gammaproteobacteria; Pseudomonadales; Pseudomonadaceae.